Molecule: ribosomal RNA, 179 nt
Filed under: Pseudoalteromonas porphyrae
Lineage: Bacteria; Pseudomonadati; Pseudomonadota; Gammaproteobacteria; Alteromonadales; Pseudoalteromonadaceae
Description: partial 23S ribosomal RNA
Rfam family: Bacterial large subunit ribosomal RNA (bases 1-161)
Source: RNAcentral
GCUGAAAGCAUCUAAGCGCGAAGCAGGCCUCGAGAUGAUUUCUCACUAGAGCUAUAAGCUCUCUGAAGGGCCGUUGGAGACUACAACGUUGAUAGGCAAGGUGUGGAAGCAUAGUGAUAUGUUAAGCUAACUUGUACUAAUUACCCGUGAGGCUUAACCAUACAACGCCAAACGCGUUU